RNAcentral lists this ribosomal RNA (433 nucleotides) under uncultured bacterium. RNAcentral describes it as "partial 16S ribosomal RNA". It matches the Rfam family "Bacterial small subunit ribosomal RNA", at positions 29 to 507 of the family's 1533-position model. The record is from RNAcentral.
AACGAACGCUGGCGGCAUGCCUAACACAUGCAAGUCGAACGAUCCCUUCGGGGAUAGUGGCGCACGGGUGCGUAACGCGCGGGAACCUGCCCUUAGGUUCGGAACAACUCAGAGAAAUUUGAGCUAAUACCGGAUAAUGUCUUCGGACCAAAGAUUUAUCGCCUUUGGAUGGGCCCGCGUUGGAUUAGCUAGUUGGUGGGGUAAAGGCCUACCAAGGCGACGAUCCAUAGCUGGUCUGAGAGGAUGAUCAGCCACACUGGGACUGAGACACGGCCCAGACUCCUACGGGAGGCAGCAGUGGGGAAUAUUGGACAAUGGGCGAAAGCCUGAUCCAGCAAUGCCGCGUGAGUGAUGAAGGCCUUAGGGUUGUAAAGCUCUUUUACCCGGGAUGAUAAUGACAGUACCGGGAGAAUAAGCCCCGGCUAACUCCGUG